CAGUAGCCACGGGAAUACGUAGGGUGCAAGCGUUAAUCGGAAUUACUGGGCGUAAAGCGUGCGCAGGCGGUUUGUUAAGACAGAUGUGAAAUCCCCGGGCUCAACCUGGGAACUGCAUUUGUGACUGGCAAGCUAGAGUAUGUCAGAGGAUGGUGGAAUUCCCGGUGUAGCGGUGAAAUGCGUAGAGAUCGGGAGGAACAUCAGUGGCGAAGGCAAUCCCCUGAACCUGUACUGACGCUCAUGCACGAAAGCGUGGGGAGCGAACAGGAUUAGAGACCCGCGUAGUCCCUGUCUCUUAUAC
Molecule: ribosomal RNA, 301 nt
Filed under: uncultured bacterium
Lineage: Bacteria
Description: partial 16S ribosomal RNA
Rfam family: Bacterial small subunit ribosomal RNA
Source: RNAcentral